AUUUAUUAAUUAAUUAACAUUUGCUGUCUGGAUUAAUUUCUCACAAAGUGUAAACCAUGCAUCAUUACUAGUUAUAAUAUUAUAGUCUAAAUUGCGCGUUCUUUUUUCAGGAUUCCAGUUAAUAAAGAGUGGAGGGCGUUGUGGGUUGAUGCCAUGAACCUUGACACUAAUGUGACAAAACUGCAUGUGUUUGUAGCUUACAUUUUACUGAUGAUGCGUAUGUAACAGUAGCUAAGAAAAAGUUAAAGCCACAAGCAGUUCCUUCAGUAUUGCCUAAGAUAGUUCCAAAAAGCAAAAAAAUUACAGUUCUGGGUAUUCAAAAGUUGAAAGGAGUAUCUUUUGUACAUACUUCAUCUUCUAGUCAUAUCACAGUAGUAGGAACUUCUUAUGAACGAGGAGGACCUUCUAGUAAACGGGAUGAUGUAGAAAUUUCUGGUGAACCGCCCAA
Molecule: long non-coding RNA, 448 nt
Organism: Manduca sexta (tobacco hornworm)
Lineage: Eukaryota; Metazoa; Arthropoda; Insecta; Lepidoptera; Sphingidae
Exons: 2
Source: RefSeq, a predicted model, not a curated record